UUUCAUUGUCGGUUCUUCUCUCUCAUUUCCCUCCCACACCAGAGCCUUUUCUUCUCUCAUUUCCCUCUUCCGAAUCUUUCCUUACCCAAGUUAUAUUAAAGAUCGUUCAUGGCUUCAACAAAGAUCGUGAGAAGAGCUUCGUUGAUGUUUGUUCUGAAGAACGGAAACCAUUAUAGUCACUUCCUCUUUGAUCGUUCUUAUUCAACUAUAUUUCGUUGAUGUUAGGGUUAUAACUAAUUGUUCUUGUGAGAAUUCCUUAUUUUUAGUUUCUGCAAUUUCAGAAGGAGCUAUUAGAAGACCGAUUGAUCAUCAAUGAUGGUUCACAAGGAUUCUAAGUAUGUCUUCGUUGAGAGGAGGAACUGGAGUUGGAAAACAAUACCCUGAUAUGGUAGUGAUGCUUACUUUCUCUGUUUUCCUAUCACCUAAGGUAUCUGAUACCGUUGUUGUGUAAAGCCCCGUCUCCUUUACCCAUUUUGUGUGCUACUGGUUCCGGUCUCAUUUGAUUAUGUGAAUUAUUUGGUUUUUGAGUAAUGAUACAGCCUGCACUUUCAACCCAACUUAAUCAUGUUUUUUCUGCCAUAACGAGAUUUGUUUCCCAAUCAUUGAAUCUCAAGCUCUAUAGUGUAAUUAAUAUAGCCUAAACCAUUGUUCAGAUUGUUGUUGAGCGUAAUCUGUUUGUAAAAAGAUCCUCGCUUUGUUUUUUCCUAGUUACAAGGUUUUGAGCAGUUUCGCCUUUAAAGUCUGAAGUUUCUCAGUUAGUUCAAGGCAUGUUCUUUUAUUUAAUAUUUAUGGCUUGAUGAGUUAGGUGAUCUCUAGCACUAUUUUUUAAGACCCCUUGCGGCUUAUGCUGUUAAGCUUUCUUAUAUCUUUUUAAAAGUGGUUUGAUGCCUAUUAAUGAAUCUUGGCGACGUACUGUCACUUGGCUUCAGUUUCUCCUUCAUGUUUUUGACAUGAUUCUUAUGUUAGAUGGGUGUGCCAAACAUCCCUAUUUUGGCCAUGGUACUCGUAUUUAUUGGGAUUAAUGUUGACACUAGGUAUACCAUUUUACUGGUUAGUAAGUUUAUGAUUUGUAGAUCCUUGUAGUUGCACAUAGUGGAGAUAUGCAGCAUAGCUAAAGCACCACGAUUUGUUGUCACUCCGAAGGAAAUUGAUGAGAUUUGAUUACUUCUGCAAAAACUGCCACACUGGGCAGCUUGUUCAAAAAUGCAGGCUCUUGAAUUCCUGACACCUAUAUAUAAGGGUCAUCCACGUGUUAUGGAUUAUAUUUUUAAGAGUUUUGGAGUCUUACCCUCCUGAAGGAAUCACUUAUUGUAUGCAUAAACUCCUGCAAGCUCCGGUAUGAUUAUGGGAGAUUAGUUGGAAGGCUAUUUGCUCGGAGCAGCUCAAAGGAGUGAUAUAUUUUCCCGUUGAUAAGGCAUUACUGGUGGGUAGUACAGUAUGUUCUACGGUGUGAUGGGAGAGACAUGCAGCCCAGAGGUAGUGGUGAAAGACUCAACAGUUACCAUGGUUUGAUAAUACCUGCAAAAAAUUUAAGAAAUUAAGUUCCAUACUGCACAUAAACUCAGGUAUUCGAGGUGAAUUUUGAGUUGGUACGAGUCCUUAUUAUCCGUUAUGAUUAUGUGCGAAAAGGGGAACUUGCAGUCACAUGAAGAUGAAAGAUGAAAGCUCCAUAUGAAGCUAAAGCACCAGAACUCGAGAUGAAACAAUCAUGCCUGCUUAUAACAAAGCACAUGCUCAUGAAUUGUCCCUUGAGGGAGUUCCUGAACUCACUCUUACUGGCAUACAAGCAAGCAAGAAAUUAAUCGAAGUCAUUGUGUGCAUGAAGUGUCUCACUUAAUAAUUACUGGACGAUUUUUGUUUUUAUGAUCAGAUGUAUGUUGGUACAUUUCUUGUCGGUAUGGAUAAAGUUCAUUUGGUUAUAAAGUUAGAGAUAAAGUUAAUCGAAAUGAUUGUCUUUCUCACUAAAGAGUUGUCCUUCAAGGUCAUGGACCUCUCUAUGGACAUGCAGUGGACUUGGUUGUUUAAAGUUUUCUUGUUGCUGUUAGUGGCAAGAUGAUGAGUCCAAUAUGCAACAACUCUUGUCUGCGUUGUCGUUUGAGUCAUGUUCAUAAUCUUGCAGGGUGUAUGCUCUCUAUGUUACACAGUUUCAACUUUCAACGGUUAAUGAAAUUUUAACCUUGCGUAAGCAUAAGAAGGGAUGCUUUAUAGAGACUGAUCAUGUUUUCCCUUCUUGGUAUUUUUGGGAAAUAAACAUUUUUGGAAAACUCGGCUCGAAAAACUGCUAAAGGCACCCGGAGGACAUUUGCUAUACGAACCCUAGAUUUGGCUAAGGGGCACCCAAGGUUAUGCGUAACCCAAAUUCAUCCUUAGCACCCAUCUUCUUCUUUUGAAUUUCAUUUUGGCGGGAAAAUGAAGAACAUAACUGUGUGAUUUUCGAUUGAAGUUUGAAGGAGUUCUAGGUAGACUAAAGGGCUGAAAUUUGUUGGGUAGUUGUGAUACGUCCCAACAAAACUAUCAUGAGUGAUUUGAUCGAUUAAAAUUGGCUGGAUUCCCGCGAAGAAGUAAAUAGAGCAACACUUUCUCGGGAAGAGUAUUUCACGGGUUUUGAAGAGUUUGAACAUGUUCUGAUGACUCGAUCAACAUUCUGGAACGUGUAUUGACCUGUUCAGAGUGUGCUGGCAGAGAAUCAAUCAACGCGUGAGGAGGUAAAAUAGGGAAGAAAAUAUUCCCGAGAAUAUUUUUUUUCACUGGCGAGUUAUGAAGAGAUUUCCAGAGUUAAUGCAGAGGUUGGAUGACCCCGUUGAGUAUAAAAUAGGUUCUUGGGCACCAGAAAGGGGUAUGGAGAGUUUGGGGAGUAGUACAACGUGAAAAUCAUAACUGAAGAGAAUAUCUUUCUGCUACUGCGUAAGGAGGAAGAACAUGAAGAACAACAGCUGCUAAAAACAGUCGCUGAAGCUACAGUGACAGCGACAAAGACGUGGCAGUCGUAUAGAUACAGUGACGGUGACACAUUGCUUUUACCGUUCUCCUUAACAGUUUUGUUUGUAACAAAAAUAAGUGUUACAACCCGUUUUAAUAAUUUUUCCUCCCUUUUCAUCUUUGUAAACACUCGUUGAGCAAUAAAAAUGAAUUUUGAGCGUA
This is a long non-coding RNA of Papaver somniferum (opium poppy), 3141 nucleotides long. RefSeq lists it as uncharacterized. NCBI's taxonomy places the organism in Eukaryota, Viridiplantae, Streptophyta, Magnoliopsida, Ranunculales, Papaveraceae. The transcript is spliced from 10 exons. The record is from RefSeq and is a predicted model, not a curated record.